UAAUCUCAAUUUGUAAAUGUGA
RNAcentral lists this microRNA (22 nucleotides) under Drosophila virilis. RNAcentral describes it as "dvi-miR-304-5p". Its record names the gene dvi-miR-304-5p. Lineage: Eukaryota; Metazoa; Arthropoda; Insecta; Diptera; Drosophilidae. The record is from miRBase by way of RNAcentral.